UGGGGAAUAUUGCACAAUGGGCGCAAGCCUGAUGCAGCCAUGCCGCGUGUGUGAAGAAGGCCUUCGGGUUGUAAAGCACUUUCAGCGAGGAGGAAGGUGGUGAGCUUAAUACGCUCAUCAAUUGACGUUACUCGCAGAAGAAGCACCGGCUAACUCCGUGCCAGCAGCCGCGGUAAUACGGAGGGUGCAAGCGUUAAUCGGAAUUACUGGGCGUAAAGCGCACGCAGGCGGUUUGUUAAGUCAGAUGUGAAAUCCCCGGGCUCAACCUGGGAACUGCAUUUGAAACUGGCAAGCUAGAGUCUCGUAGAGGGGGGUAGAAUUCCAGGUGUAGCGGUGAAAUGCGUAGAGAUCUGGAGGAAUACCGGUGGCGAAGGUGGCCCCCUGGACGAAGACUGACGCUCAGGUGCGAAAGCGUGGGGCAGCAAACAGGAUUAGAUACCCUGGUAGUCCACGCUGUAAACGAUGUCGAUUUUGGAGGUUGUGCCCUUGAGGCGUGGCUUCCGGAGCUAACGCGUUAAAUCGACCGCCUGGGGAGUACGGCCGCAAGGUUAAAACUUAAAUGAAUUGAC
RNAcentral lists this ribosomal RNA (569 nucleotides) under uncultured bacterium. RNAcentral's name for it is "partial 16S ribosomal RNA". It matches the Rfam family "Bacterial small subunit ribosomal RNA", at positions 355 to 914 of the family's 1533-position model. The record is from RNAcentral.